AUCUACUGGCUUCUUUGUAGAGUUCAGAUUGUCUCCGAAAACUGCUCCACCACAAGGUGAAAUUCUGGUCCGGACUUGAUCAGAACUACCCGGAGUCUCUGCAUGCUGAACAAGUGAAGACAACAGUGAAUUCACCUCAAACGAUGCGGCCAUCAUAGCCUUCCUUCCUCAGUGGAGAGCUACAGGUAAUCAGAUAUGGAAAUGGGUGGAGAGAGAAAAAAAUAACCUGUCCUGCUGUGUGAAGUGCAGCUGAUGACAUGUGUUUGGAUGCGCUCUGGGUUUCAGAAACACAAGAGAGGAAGUUUUAUUACACUG
RNAcentral lists this long non-coding RNA (315 nucleotides) under Numida meleagris (helmeted guineafowl). RNAcentral describes it as "lncRNA (ENSNMEG00000016798.1)". Lineage: Eukaryota; Metazoa; Chordata; Aves; Galliformes; Numididae. The record is from RNAcentral.